GCGCUAUCAGGGAAACGUUGGCUAGUCUUGUCGUCUGUCCGUCCAUGCUUCACUGCGUGGCUCGGCGAUGCGUCAGAACCCAUCGGGACCGGGAGACACGGUGGCAGUGGAAUCGGCCCUUCGGGGUGUUGUAACUCUGCCCACACGAGCGCCCGGGACGGAUGCGGCCGUGAGCACGCAGCAAUGUUGUGCUCCCUCUGGCAAUAGGCUCAGUCACCGACCCGUCUUGAAACACGGACCAAGGAGUGUAUCUUGCUUGCGAGUCGAAGGGUCUGUAAACCUGGAGGCGUAGCGAAAGCGUCGACUGUGAAUCCGCGAGGAGGCGACAGUGCCCGUGCUCUGCACGAGGUGGAGCAAGUAGGAUGCGACCCGAAAGAUGGUGAACUAUGCCCGGGUAGGAUGAAGCCGGUGGAAACGCCGGUGGAGGUCCGUAGCGGUUCUGACGUGCAAAUCGAUCGUGUAACCCGGGUAUAGGGGCGAAAGACCUAUCGAACCGUCUAAUGGCUGGUUCCCCCCGAAGUUUCCCUCAGGAUAGC
This 536-nucleotide ribosomal RNA is filed under the name uncultured Cantharellales. RNAcentral describes it as "eukaryotic LSU rRNA". It matches the Rfam family "Eukaryotic large subunit ribosomal RNA", at positions 405 to 982 of the family's 3401-position model. Lineage: Eukaryota; Fungi; Basidiomycota; Agaricomycetes; Cantharellales. The record is from RNAcentral.